CCUACGGGAGGCUGCAGUGGGGAAUCUUGCACAAUGGGCGCAAGCCUGAUGCAGCCAUGCCGCGUGUAUGAAGAAGGCCUUCGGGUUGUAAAGUACUUUCAGUCGUGAGGAAGGUGUUAAGGUUAAUAACCUUAGCAAUUGACGUUAGCGACAGAAGAAGCACCGGCUAACUCCGUGCCAGCAGCCGCGGUAAUACGGAGGGUGCGAGCGUUAAUCGGAAUUACUGGGCGUAAAGGGCACGCAGGCGGUUAAUUAAGUUGGAUGUGAAAUCCCCGGGCUUAAGCCGGGAAUGGCAUUCAAGCAUGGUUAGCUAGUGGAUUGUAGAGGGGGGUAGAAUUCCAUGUGUAGCGGUAAAAUGCGUAGAGAUGUGGAGGGAUACCUGUAGCGAAGGCGGCCAGCUGGACAAAGACUGACGCUCAGGUGAGAAAGCGUGGAGAGCAAACAGGAUUAGAUACUCCACUAGUC
Molecule: ribosomal RNA, 465 nt
Filed under: uncultured Arsenophonus sp.
Lineage: Bacteria; Pseudomonadati; Pseudomonadota; Gammaproteobacteria; Enterobacterales; Morganellaceae
Description: bacterial SSU rRNA
Rfam family: Bacterial small subunit ribosomal RNA
Source: RNAcentral